GGCGCUUUAGCUCAGUCGGUAGAGCAGAGGAUUGAAAAUCCUCGUGUCCCCAGUUCGAUUCUGGGAGGCGCCACCA
This 76-nucleotide transfer RNA is filed under the name Pseudomonadota bacterium. RNAcentral describes it as "Proteobacteria bacterium tRNA-Phe". It matches the Rfam family "tRNA". From Rfam's summary of the family: Transfer RNA (tRNA) molecules are approximately 80 nucleotides in length. Their secondary structure includes four short double-helical elements and three loops (D, anti-codon, and T loops). RNAcentral also lists the same sequence under 2 other names. The record is from RNAcentral. Lineage: Bacteria; Pseudomonadati; Pseudomonadota.